CCGGGAAGUCCUCGUGUUGC
RNAcentral lists this non-coding RNA (20 nucleotides) under Arabidopsis thaliana (thale cress). Lineage: Eukaryota; Viridiplantae; Streptophyta; Magnoliopsida; Brassicales; Brassicaceae. The record is from RNAcentral.